RNAcentral lists this long non-coding RNA (252 nucleotides) under Phoenix dactylifera (date palm). Its description in RNAcentral is "long non-coding RNA (PDAC_LNC009633)". Lineage: Eukaryota; Viridiplantae; Streptophyta; Magnoliopsida; Arecales; Arecaceae. The record is from RNAcentral.
ACCUAAGUUUCAGAGCAUCAUCAGUGAAGUUCUGAAUCUUGACAGUGGUACAAAUUUCAAGAAAUUCAUCUAGAUGUUUAUAUGGGUCUUCGUUGGUGAGCCCAUAAAAGGAUGGGAGCAUUUGGAUCACACUAGACUUUAUCCUCGAUAAAGUUAUUCAGAAUCAAUUGGAAAGAGGUCAACAAUUACGUGAGUUGCUUAAACAAUCCCAAUCAGACCCUCUCACGGUGGAAGAACAGAUAGUGACUAUUU